AAUCGGGGCAGGGUGAGUCGACCCCUAAGGCGAGGCCGAAAGGCGUAGUCGAUGGGAAACAGGUUAAUAUUCCUGUACUUGGUGUUACUGCGAAGGGGGGACGGAGAAGGCUAUGUUGGCCGGGCGACGGUUGUCCCGGUUUAAGCGUGUAGGCUGGUUUUCCAGGCAAAUCCGGAAAAUCAAGGCUGAGGCGUGAUGACGAGGCACUACGGUGCUGAAGCGACAAAUGCCCUGCUUCCAGGAAAAGCCUCUAAGCAUCAGGUAACAUCAAAUCGUACCCCAAACCGACACAGGUGGUCAGGUAGAGAAUACCAAGGCGCUUGAGAGAACUCGGGUGAAGGAACUAGGCAAAAUGGUGCCGUAACUUCGGGAGAAGGCACGCUGAUAUGUAGGUGAAGCGACUUGCUCGUGGAGCUGAAAUCAGUCGAAGAUACCAGCUGGCUGCAACUGUUUAUUAAAAACACAGCACUGUGCAAACACGAAAGUGGACGUAUACGGUGUGACGCCUGCCCGGUGCCGGAAGGUUAAUUGAUGGGGUUAGCGGUAACGCGAAGCUCUUGAUCGAAGCCCCGGUAAACGGCGGCCGUAACUAUAACGGUCCUAAGGUAGCGAAAUUCCUUGUCGGGUAAGUUCCGACCUGCACGAAUGGCGUAAUGAUGGCCAGGCUGUCUCCACCCGAGACUCAGUGAAAUUGAACUCGCUGUGAAGAUGCAGUGUACCCGCGGCAAGACGGAAAGACCCCGUGAACCUUUACUAUAGCUUGACACUGAACAUUGAGCCUUGAUGUGUAGGAUAGGUGGGAGGCUUUGAAGUGUGGACGCCAGUCUGCAUGGAGCCGACCUUGAAAUACCACCCUUUAAUGUUUGAUGUUCUAACGUGGGCCCCUUACCGGGGUUGCGGACAGUGUCUGGUGGGUAGUUUGACUGGGGCGGUCUCCUCCUAAAGAGUAACGGAGGAGCACGAAGGUUGGCUAAUCCUGGUCGGACAUCAGGAGGUUAGUGCAAUGGCAUAAGCCAGCUUGACUGCGAGCGUGACGGCGCGAGCAGGUGCGAAAGCAGGUCAUAGUGAUCCGGUGGUUCUGAAUGGAAGGGCCAUCGCUCAACGGAUAAAAGGUACUCCGGGGAUAACAGGCUGAUACCGCCCAAGAGUUCAUAUCGACGGCGGUGUUUGGCACCUCGAUGUCGGCUCAUCACAUCCUGGGGCUGAAGUAGGUCCCAAGGGUAUGGCUGUUCGCCAUUUAAAGUGGUACGCGAGCUGGGUUUAGAACGUCGUGAGACAGUUCGGUCCCUAUCUGCCGUGGGCGCUGGAGAACUGAGGGGGGCUGCUCCUAGUACGAGAGGACCGGAGUGGACGCAUCACUGGUGUUCGGGUUGUCAUGCCAAUGGCACUGCCCGGUAGCUAAAUGCGGAAGAGAUAAGUGCUGAAAGCAUCUAAGCACGAAACUUGCCCCGAGAUGAGUUCUCCCUGACUCCUUGAGAGUCCUGAAGGAACGUUGAAGACGACGACGUUGAUAGGCCGGGUGUGUAAGCGCAGCGAUGCGUUGAGCUAACCGGUACUAAUGAACCGUGAGGCUUAACCUUACAACGCCGAAG
RNAcentral lists this ribosomal RNA (1592 nucleotides) under Escherichia coli. Its description in RNAcentral is "partial 23S ribosomal RNA". It matches the Rfam family "Bacterial large subunit ribosomal RNA", at positions 1367 to 2925 of the family's 2925-position model. The record is from RNAcentral. Lineage: Bacteria; Pseudomonadati; Pseudomonadota; Gammaproteobacteria; Enterobacterales; Enterobacteriaceae.